Molecule: ribosomal RNA, 228 nt
Filed under: uncultured bacterium
Lineage: Bacteria
Description: partial 16S ribosomal RNA
Rfam family: Bacterial small subunit ribosomal RNA
Source: RNAcentral
GAUCAUGGCUCAGGAUGAACGUUAGCGACAGGCUUAACACAUGCAAGUCGAGGGGCAGCGGGGUGUAGCAAUACACCACCGGCGACCGGCGCACGGGUGAGUAACGCGUAUGCAACUUGCCUAUCAGAGGGGGAUAACCCGGCGAAAGUCGGACUAAUACCGCAUGAAGCAGGGAUCCCGCAUGGGAAUAUUUGCUAAAGAUUCAUCGCUGAUAGAUAGGCAUGCGUU